This 253-nucleotide ribosomal RNA is filed under the name uncultured bacterium. RNAcentral's name for it is "partial 16S ribosomal RNA". It matches the Rfam family "Bacterial small subunit ribosomal RNA", at positions 524 to 776 of the family's 1533-position model. The record is from RNAcentral.
AACGUAGGUUCCGAGCGUUAUCCGGAUUUACUGGGCGUAAAGCGCGUUCAGGCGGUUUGGCAAGUCGGGCGUGAAAUCUCUCGGCUCAACCGGGAGAGGUUGUCCGAUACUGCUGGACUUGAGGGCAGUAGAGGGUGGUGGAAUUCCGGGUGUAGUGGUGAAAUGCGUAGAUAUCCGGAGGAACACCAGUGGCGAAAGCGGCCACCUGGACUGCUCCUGACGCUGACACGCGAAAGCUAGGGGAGCGAACGGG